This 106-nucleotide small nuclear RNA is filed under the name Zalophus californianus (California sea lion). Lineage: Eukaryota; Metazoa; Chordata; Mammalia; Carnivora; Otariidae. The record is from RNAcentral.
GAGCUUGCUUCUCAGCACAUAGACUGAAAUUGGAAUGAUACACAGAAGAUUAGUAUGGCUCCUGUGCAAGGCUGACAUGCAAAUUCAUGAAGCAUUUCAUAUUUUA